CAUUGCUCUGUUGAUGAUCUUUUCAUGCUGGUAUUCUUGGUAUUGCUCUUCUCAUGCUUCAUGCCAUGCCAAGCUUUACUUUCCAGGUAUGGGGAGCAGUCCAACAAACAUGCUGAUUCAUGUUCAGGCCGUACAUCACCUGAAGGUUAGAAAAACGUGGAGAAGCAGCGACAGAGGUGACGAAGCACGCCCCUCUUCCUCUGCUUCAUCCUGCAGUCCCAGUGAUAGUGCCGCAUCCUGGUUCCAAAUACCACAGGACACCCUUAGAGGUUUUCAAGGUGGAACACAAAAGACGGGCACUCGCCAUCUUCACCGCCUGUUGAACUCAAGAGCAGCGAUGAAUAACAGCACAAAAUGAGUACACACCCUUCUAGGAGAUCUGAUCUCGUCGGUGGCACCUGACGUCUUAUGUAAAAAGUUGAAGAAGGUGAGCGUAAAACAGAUUUCAUCUGGAAUGUUCUUAAUGUGACUUGCAUUUCCGGCUAGAGAUAAUAAUUUUUAUUACAAAACGCAACACAAAUGCACUUGUAGUUUACUUGUAGGAUGAACAAACUGGCAAUGGACAUGUGAGUGGACUCCCGUGACUUUUUGUUUAAAGAUCAACAGACAACUCUCUCACUUCCUUAUCGAGCAUCCUGUCAACUUGCAGGGAGAGGUGGACUAACUAAACCAACUGCCCGAAUGACCAAACUAAAUGCACCAUGUACACUAAAAUGAUAGUGUAUAGAAACUAGGGAUGUCAAAGUUCAUUCGUUAAAAAAAAAAUUGCAUGUAUGUAUGUAGAAAUUAAUCGUGCACUCAAUCGUGCAGAUUGUUACCUAAAAGGCAGAGCAGGUUGCUAUACGAUCAGUGAUCAGGUCAAUGUAUA
This is a long non-coding RNA of Nerophis lumbriciformis (worm pipefish), 868 nucleotides long. RefSeq lists it as uncharacterized. The record is from RefSeq and is a predicted model, not a curated record. Lineage: Eukaryota; Metazoa; Chordata; Actinopteri; Syngnathiformes; Syngnathidae.